This 553-nucleotide ribosomal RNA is filed under the name uncultured archaeon. Its description in RNAcentral is "bacterial SSU rRNA". It matches the Rfam family "Archaeal small subunit ribosomal RNA", at positions 325 to 879 of the family's 1478-position model. The record is from RNAcentral.
ACGGGGUGCAGCAGGCGCGAAAACUUCGCACUGCGCGAAAGCGCGACGAGGGAAUCCCAAGUGUAUGCACGUAAGUGUAUACUGUUUCUCUGUCUAAAAAGCAGAGAGAGUAAGAGCUGGGUAAGACGGGUGCCAGCCGCCGCGGUAAUACCUGCAGCUCGAGUGGUGAUCGUUAUUAUUGGGCCUAAAACGUCCGUAGCCGGUCUUCUAAAUGCCUGGGUAAAUCGUAUGGCUUAACCAUACGAAUUCCGGGUAGACUGUUAGACUUGAGACCGGGAGAAGCUAGAGGUACUCCUGGGGUAGAGGUGAAAUUCUGUAAUCCUAGGGGGACGACCAGUGGCGAAGGCGUCUAGCUAGAACGGGUCUGACGGUGAGGGACGAAGCCCUGGGGCGCAAACGGGAUUAGAUACCCCGGUAGUCCAGGGUGUAAACGCUGCUUGCUUGAUGUUAGUCUGGCUCCGAGCCAGAUUAGUGUCGGAGAGAAGUUGUUAAGCAAGCUGCCUGGGAAGUACGGCCGCAAGACUGAAACUUAAAGGAAUUGGCGGGGGAGCAC